Molecule: ribosomal RNA, 462 nt
Filed under: uncultured Methanolinea sp.
Lineage: Archaea; Methanobacteriati; Methanobacteriota; Methanomicrobia; Methanomicrobiales; Methanoregulaceae
Description: bacterial SSU rRNA
Rfam family: Archaeal small subunit ribosomal RNA
Source: RNAcentral
CACCACAACGGUGGAGCCUUGCGGUUUAAUUGGACUCAACGCCGGGCAGCUCACCGGAUAAGACAGCUGGAUGAUAGCCGGGCUGAAGACUCUGCUUGACUAGCUGAGAGGAGGUGCAUGGCCGUCGUCAGUUCGUACUGUGAAGCAUCCUGUUAAGUCAGGCAACGAGCGAGACCCACGCCAACAGUUGCCAGCAUGUCCUCCGGGAUGAUGGGGACACUGUUGGGACCGCCUCUGCUAAAGAGGAGGAAGGAAUGGGCAACGGUAGGUCAGCAUGCCCCGAAUUAUCCGGGCUACACGCGGGCUACAAUGGUCAGGACAAUGGGUAUCGACACCGAGAGGUGGAGGCAAUCUCCUAAACCUGUCCUUAGUUCGGAUUGUGGGCUGCAACUCGCCCACAUGAAGCUGGAAUCCGUAGUAAUCGCGUUUCAAAAUAGCGCGGUGAAUAUGUCCCUGCUCCUU